CUUCCCAAUGCUGGUGGAGUGUUUAUUUACACCUCCUAAGAUGGUCUGCAGAGCUCCCCAAUCCAUUGUCUUGUCUUAAAGGUAUGACCUGCAAUUGCGGAAGCCUGUAUUUCGCUCGGUGCCGUAGCUGCUCGGGCACUUCACAUAACGCGCUCGCUGCCUCAGCGCUGCCGGGACCCCUUCGGGGCCAGCACCAGGGCUCAGCGGUGCG
This 211-nucleotide long non-coding RNA is filed under the name Gallus gallus (chicken). Lineage: Eukaryota; Metazoa; Chordata; Aves; Galliformes; Phasianidae. The record is from RNAcentral.